UACGUAGGGGGCAAGCGUUGUCCGGAAUUAUUGGGCGUAAAGAGCGUGUAGGCGGUCCGGUAAGUCAGCUGUGAAAGUCAAGGGCUCAACCCUUGAAUGCCGGUUGAUACUGUCGGGCUAGAGUCCGGAAGAGGCGAGUGGAAUUCCUGGUGUAGCGGUGAAAUGCGCAGAUAUCAGGAGGAACACCGAUUGCGAAGGCAGCUCGCUGGGACGUUACUGACGCUGAGACGCGAAAGCGUGGGGAGCAAACAGG
Molecule: ribosomal RNA, 253 nt
Filed under: uncultured bacterium
Lineage: Bacteria
Description: partial 16S ribosomal RNA
Rfam family: Bacterial small subunit ribosomal RNA
Source: RNAcentral